This 206-nucleotide ribosomal RNA is filed under the name uncultured bacterium. RNAcentral's name for it is "partial 16S ribosomal RNA". It matches the Rfam family "Bacterial small subunit ribosomal RNA", at positions 568 to 774 of the family's 1533-position model. The record is from RNAcentral.
AGCGUAGACGGCGCAGCAAGUCUGAUGUGAAGGGCAGGGGCUUAACUCCUGGACUGCAUUGGAAACUGCCGUGCUUGAGUGCAGUUGAGGCAGGCGGAAUUCGUGGUGUAGCGGUGAAAUGCUUAGAUAUCACGAAGAACUCCGAUUGCGAAGGCAGCCUGCUAAGCUGCAACUAGCAUUGAGCUCGAAAGUGUGGGUAUCAAACA